GACACCUAAAUGAAGACCUCUGUCCAUCAGAACGAGUGGCCAUUAUGAAGGAGGCCCCUUAGGCGGUUCAGAUAGAUAUGAGGAAUGACGCCCGGCUAAAAUGGGAUCCCUUCGCUGCAGGAGGCAAAUAUGCCCGCUGUCGGGCUAAUUUGCUGCACAUGAACAAUGAAUCCGUAAGGAAAUGUGUGUACAUUGUGGCGGCACAGAGCAGCCACAUUCUGCUGCGUUUCCAAAUAUAAAUAAACUUUGCAUGGGGGAGAUCAUGUGACCUGACAACAGCGACGCGACAGGUCUCAUAAUGGCCCGGCACCGCCACAUCAUCACCAAUGCCCAUUCCAUUUCCAUUUCACUUGGGCAGCCUGCCAAAAACCAAUGAACCUGUCUACCUCUCUGGUUGGGUAGAGAUCCUUGAACACCUGGGCAAGGACAAGUGGCCAGGGCUUGCGUGCGCCAAGGUUUGUCUCCGAUUAAUAUUAAUGACAAAUCAAUGGUGCACAAUUAGAGGAAGUGCACCAGCACAAGAUCCCAAAGACUCGACGCCAUGUGAGCCGAGCUGUCCGCCCAAGCAGCGAACAUGAGACAAAAAUAACAGCAAAGUGUGGUCUCCACUCAUAGCCAUCAUCAUCAUCAUCGCCAUCAUCAUGGUGAUCCAACGAAUUUGCUGAUGCUGCAGCACCGUUGUCGCCAAGCGGUUGAGUUUCUGCCGCAUGGCAACUAUUUUCGCCGAGGAGUCACCAGAGUGCAUUGAACCCACUUCUCGCCAUGGGAGAUGAGGAAAAAUGAAAUUUAAAAAUACAUAUUUUUCGGAAAUAAAUGAAGAAUGUUGUAACAAAAUGACCGAAAUAA
Molecule: long non-coding RNA, 846 nt
Organism: Drosophila sechellia
Lineage: Eukaryota; Metazoa; Arthropoda; Insecta; Diptera; Drosophilidae
Exons: 2
Source: RefSeq, a predicted model, not a curated record